CCAUCUAGGAAAGUCUUUGCCAUAAAAUAUUUCAAAAUUAGGAUUAGGUAAAGAUGGAAUACUAUUUGGUAUUGAUGUAGAAGCCAUUGAGACAACUAUCUUCAAAUUGUUAGAACAAUAAUGAUAAUUGUACAAGAAAUUCAAAAUAAACUUGCUUGGCUUAAAGGCACGAUAAUACGCUUCUUGAAGAUAGUUGAAGUCUCUCCCACG
Molecule: long non-coding RNA, 210 nt
Filed under: Capsicum annuum
Lineage: Eukaryota; Viridiplantae; Streptophyta; Magnoliopsida; Solanales; Solanaceae
Description: long non-coding RNA (CANN_LNC003397)
Source: RNAcentral